UGGGGAAUCUUGCACAAUGGGGGCAACCCUGAUGCAGCGACGCCGCGUGAGCGAUGAAGCCCUUCGGGGCGUAAAGCUCUUUCGACCGGAACGAUAAUGACGGUACCGGGAGAAGAAGCUGCGGCUAACUACGUGCCAGCAGCCGCGGUAAUACGUAGGCAGCAAGCGUUGUUCGGAGUUACUGGGCGUAAAGAGUGCGUAGGCGGUUUUCUAAGUUCGGUGUGAAAUCUCCCGGCUUAACUGGGAGGGUGCGCCGAAGACUGGGAAGCUGGAGCGUGGGAAAGGCAGGCGGAAUUCCUGGUGUAGCGGUGAAAUGCGUAGAUAUCAGGAGGAACGCCGGCGGUGUAGACGGCUUGCUAGACCAUAACUGACGCUGAGGCACGAAAGCGUGGGUAGCAAACA
This 402-nucleotide ribosomal RNA is filed under the name uncultured bacterium. RNAcentral's name for it is "bacterial SSU rRNA". It matches the Rfam family "Bacterial small subunit ribosomal RNA", at positions 355 to 774 of the family's 1533-position model. The record is from RNAcentral.